This 31-nucleotide non-coding RNA is filed under the name Homo sapiens (human). The record is from RNAcentral. Lineage: Eukaryota; Metazoa; Chordata; Mammalia; Primates; Hominidae.
UCAGCAUCAGAGCAUCCACAGGUGCGCCCCC